UACGAAGGGGGCUAGCGUUGCUCGGAAUCACUGGGCGUAAAGGGUGCGUAGGCGGGUCUUUAAGUCAGAGGUGAAAUCCUGGAGCUCAACUCCAGAACUGCCUUUGAUACUGGAGAGCUUGAGUCCGGGAGAGGUGAGUGGAACUGCGAGUGUAGAGGUGAAAUUCGUAGAUAUUCGCAAGAACACCAGUGGCGAAGGCGGCUCACUGGCCCGGUACUGACGCUGAGGCGCGAAAGCUAGGGGAGCAAACAGG
Molecule: ribosomal RNA, 253 nt
Filed under: uncultured bacterium
Lineage: Bacteria
Description: partial 16S ribosomal RNA
Rfam family: Bacterial small subunit ribosomal RNA
Source: RNAcentral